Molecule: ribosomal RNA, 660 nt
Filed under: uncultured bacterium
Lineage: Bacteria
Description: bacterial SSU rRNA
Rfam family: Bacterial small subunit ribosomal RNA
Source: RNAcentral
AGUGGCGGACGGGUGAGUAACGCGUGAGAAUCUGCCUUGGGGUCGGGGACAACCACUGGAAACGGUGGCUAAUACCGGAUACGCCUUCGGGUAAAAGAUUUAUUGCCCUAAGAGGAGCUCGCGUCUGAUUAGCUAGUUGGUGAGGUAAGAGCUCACCAAGGCAGCGAUCAGUAGCUGGUCUGAGAGGACGAUCAGCCACACUGGGACUGAGACACGGCCCAGACUCCUACGGGAGGCAGCAGUGGGGAAUUUUCCGCAAUGGGCGAAAGCCUGACGGAGCAAGACCGCGUGAGGGAGGAAGGCUCUUGGGUUGUAAACCUCUUUUCUCAGGGAAGAAGAUCUGACGGUACCUGAGGAAUCAGCCUCGGCUAACUCCGUGCCAGCAGCCGCGGUAAUACGGAGGAGGCAAGCGUUAUCCGGAAUUAUUGGGCGUAAAGCGUCCGCAGGUGGCGAUUCAAGUCUGCUGUCAAAGCACGGGGCUUAACUCCUUAAAGGCAGUGGAAACUGAAUAGCUAGAGUGCCGUAGGGGUAGAGGGAAUUCCCGGUGUAGCGGUGAAAUGCGUAGAGAUCGGGAAGAACAUCGGUGGCGAAAGCGCUCUACUGGACGGCAACUGACACUCAGGGACGAAAGCUAGGGGAGCGAAUGGGAUUAGAUACCCC